Long non-coding RNA from Canis lupus familiaris (dog), 593 nucleotides. RefSeq lists it as uncharacterized. The record is from RefSeq and is a predicted model, not a curated record. NCBI's taxonomy places the organism in Eukaryota, Metazoa, Chordata, Mammalia, Carnivora, Canidae. The transcript has 3 exons.
CUCAUAUUCCUGCUCGGUCCUCAUGAAUCUCAGGGCUCUUGCCUUGGGAUAGCUCUGGGUUUGCAUGAGGCUGCCAUAUUUUGCACUAUUCCUGUCCAUGGGAAAUUGCGUCAUCAACCUCAGGAAAGAGCAAGAAGGCAUGUCACCUUGCCGUGCCAGGGCUAUUAGAGUCUCAGGACCCAGCCAUGGUCCCACAACAUAGCCAUCCCAGCUGCUGGGUCUUUCUACUUAUUUCUCCCGUGGAAGCAGUGCUAGAGAGGCUAUAAGAGAGAAAUGGAAGAAGGAACCUAAGAAUCAGACACCUUGGUUCUCUCCUGGGGAAGAGAAGCCUCAUGAAUGAAGCUGAGCUGAAACAUGGUGAGAUACUCUCUGAGUUCACGACAUGGUUCUACGUACUCUUCCCUCACUGGUUCAGUGAGGUGCUAGAUAAAGGAAAUACCACAGUUGCUGGCUUCGAGUGGUACUUAAUAAAGAUCCAUCCCCCUUUUUUCUCUCUGCCAUAAGCUUCUCUUCCUUUGAAGUACAAUAACCUGGGGCGGGGGGUGUUGAGACAUGAUCAAAGUACGAGGACCCCAGCAUUCAGAAUGGUGGGG